GGCGGACGGGUUAGUAACGCGUGGGAACGUGCCCUUCUCUGCGGAAUAGCCACUGGAAACGGUGAGUAAUACCGCAUACGCCCUUCGGGGGAAAGAUUUAUCGGAGAAGGAUCGGCCCGCGUUAGAUUAGAUAGUUGGUGGGGUAACGGCCUACCAAGUCUACGAUCUAUAGCUGGUUUUAGAGGAUGAUCAGCAACACUGGGACUGAGACACGGCCCAGACUCCUACGGGAGGCAGCAGUGGGGAAUCUUAGACAAUGGGCGCAAGCCUGAUCUAGCCAUGCCGCGUGUGUGAUGAAGGUCUUAGGAUCGUAAAGCACUUUCGCCAGGGAUGAUAAUGACAGUACCUGGUAAAGAAACCCCGGCUAACUCCGUGCCAGCAGCCGCGGUAAUACGGAGGGGGUUAGCGUUGUUCGGAAUUACUGGGCGUAAAGCGCGCGUAGGCGGAUUGGAAAGUUGGGGGUGAAAUCCCGGGGCUCAACCCCGGAACUGCCUCCAAAACUAUCAGUCUAGAGUUCGAGAGAGGUGAGUGGAAUUCCAAGUGUAGAGGUGAAAUUCGUAGAUAUUUGGAGGAACACCAGUGGCGAAGGCGGCUCACUGGCUCGAUACUGACGCUGAGGUGCGAAAGUGUGGGGAGCAAACAGGAUUAGA
Molecule: ribosomal RNA, 650 nt
Filed under: uncultured marine bacterium
Lineage: Bacteria
Description: bacterial SSU rRNA
Rfam family: Bacterial small subunit ribosomal RNA
Source: RNAcentral